Molecule: ribosomal RNA, 543 nt
Filed under: Triticum aestivum (bread wheat)
Lineage: Eukaryota; Viridiplantae; Streptophyta; Magnoliopsida; Poales; Poaceae
Description: partial small subunit ribosomal RNA
Source: RNAcentral
AUGGAUGACAACCACUGCCCAAUUCUUAGUUGGAAUGUGCGGGGGUUGAACAUGCCAGCCAAACGUGAUGAUGUGUGCGAAACUGCGGCAGCGCAUCGACCAGCAAUCCUGUGCCUCCAAGAAACCAAGAUCGAUGUAUGGUCGCCGGCCCUAGUCAAGGAUGUAGGAGGAGCGAGGCUUGCUGACUACAUAGUCCUCCCUGCGAUAGGCACCAGGGGAGGGAUCGCAGUUCUGUGGGAUAAGCAGAUCGUCUCGAUCGUCUCUCACGCUGUAGGAGAGUUUGCCAUAACUGCAAAAGUUACCGUCCUGCGCACGGCGACCACGUUCUGGCUAACCACAGUCUACGGGCCAGCGGACGAGGCUCGGAAAGAUGAUUUUCUAAGAGAGUUAGCUAGCUCUGCGCCGCCCUCGACUGAGCCGUGGCUGCUUACGGGAGAUUUUAACAUAAUCUAUGAGGCGGGGGAUAAAAACAACUUCAACCUAAAUAGGCGCAUUAUGGGUAGGUUUAGAGCUGCGAUCGACUCGGCUUGCCUGCGGGAGAUU